Molecule: long non-coding RNA, 179 nt
Filed under: Neogale vison (American mink)
Lineage: Eukaryota; Metazoa; Chordata; Mammalia; Carnivora; Mustelidae
Description: Neovison vison (American mink) lncRNA (ENSNVIG00000011870.1)
Source: RNAcentral
CAACAAUGAAUAAACAAGUAUCACCACAGCCCUUGUUCUUGUCCCUUACAGCUGGGAACAGGGGCUGGGAGAUUGCUACUGCUUGUCAGCUGUUGUAUAGAAUAGCAUCAAUAUGCAAUAAUGGUGGCCAAAGGAGCUGCAGGAGCUUUUUCAGACCAGGUUUGAUAUUGAUAAAAUGA